UGGGGAAUAUUGCGCAAUGGGGGGAACCCUGACGCAGCCACGCCGCGUGAAUGAAGAAGGCCUUCGGGCUGUAAAGUUCUUUCGGUAUUGAGGAAGGUUGAUGUGUUAAUAGCACAUCAAAUUGACGUUAAAUACAGAAGAAGCGCCGGCUAACUCCGUGCCAGCAGCCGCGGUAAUACGGAGGGUGCGAGCGUUAAUCGGAAUAACUGGGCGUAAAGGGCACGCAGGCGGUUAUUUAAGUGAGGUGUGAAAGCCCCGGGCUUAACCUGGGAAUUGCAUUUCAGACUGGGUAACUAGGGUACUUUAGGGAGGGGUAGAAUUCCACGUGUAGCGGUGAAAUGCGUAGAGAUGUGGAGGAAUACCGAAGGCGAAGGCAGCCCCUUGGGAAUGUACUGACGCUCAUGUGCGAAAGCGUGGGGAGCAAACAGGAUUAGAUACCCUGGUAGUCCACGCUGUAAACGCUGUCGAUUUGGGGGUUGGGGUUUAACUCUGGCGCCCGUAGUUAACGUGAUAAAUCGACCGCCUGGGGAGUACGGCCGCAAGGUUA
This 547-nucleotide ribosomal RNA is filed under the name uncultured bacterium. RNAcentral's name for it is "bacterial SSU rRNA". It matches the Rfam family "Bacterial small subunit ribosomal RNA", at positions 355 to 896 of the family's 1533-position model. The record is from RNAcentral.